RNAcentral lists this ribosomal RNA (1554 nucleotides) under Salmonella enterica subsp. enterica serovar Montevideo. Its description in RNAcentral is "bacterial SSU rRNA". It matches the Rfam family "Bacterial small subunit ribosomal RNA". Lineage: Bacteria; Pseudomonadati; Pseudomonadota; Gammaproteobacteria; Enterobacterales; Enterobacteriaceae. The record is from RNAcentral. RNAcentral also lists the same sequence under 1 other name.
AAAUUGAAGAGUUUGAUCAUGGCUCAGAUUGAACGCUGGCGGCAGGCCUAACACAUGCAAGUCGAACGGUAACAGGAAGCAGCUUGCUGCUUCGCUGACGAGUGGCGGACGGGUGAGUAAUGUCUGGGAAACUGCCUGAUGGAGGGGGAUAACUACUGGAAACGGUGGCUAAUACCGCAUAACGUCGCAAGACCAAAGAGGGGGACCUUCGGGCCUCUUGCCAUCAGAUGUGCCCAGAUGGGAUUAGCUUGUUGGUGAGGUAACGGCUCACCAAGGCGACGAUCCCUAGCUGGUCUGAGAGGAUGACCAGCCACACUGGAACUGAGACACGGUCCAGACUCCUACGGGAGGCAGCAGUGGGGAAUAUUGCACAAUGGGCGCAAGCCUGAUGCAGCCAUGCCGCGUGUAUGAAGAAGGCCUUCGGGUUGUAAAGUACUUUCAGCGGGGAGGAAGGUGUUGUGGUUAAUAACCGCAGCAAUUGACGUUACCCGCAGAAGAAGCACCGGCUAACUCCGUGCCAGCAGCCGCGGUAAUACGGAGGGUGCAAGCGUUAAUCGGAAUUACUGGGCGUAAAGCGCACGCAGGCGGUCUGUCAAGUCGGAUGUGAAAUCCCCGGGCUCAACCUGGGAACUGCAUUCGAAACUGGCAGGCUUGAGUCUUGUAGAGGGGGGUAGAAUUCCAGGUGUAGCGGUGAAAUGCGUAGAGAUCUGGAGGAAUACCGGUGGCGAAGGCGGCCCCCUGGACAAAGACUGACGCUCAGGUGCGAAAGCGUGGGGAGCAAACAGGAUUAGAUACCCUGGUAGUCCACGCCGUAAACGAUGUCUACUUGGAGGUUGUGCCCUUGAGGCGUGGCUUCCGGAGCUAACGCGUUAAGUAGACCGCCUGGGGAGUACGGCCGCAAGGUUAAAACUCAAAUGAAUUGACGGGGGCCCGCACAAGCGGUGGAGCAUGUGGUUUAAUUCGAUGCAACGCGAAGAACCUUACCUGGUCUUGACAUCCACGGAAGAAUUCAGAGAUGGAUUUGUGCCUUCGGGAACCGUGAGACAGGUGCUGCAUGGCUGUCGUCAGCUCGUGUUGUGAAAUGUUGGGUUAAGUCCCGCAACGAGCGCAACCCUUAUCCUUUGUUGCCAGCGGUCCGGCCGGGAACUCAAAGGAGACUGCCAGUGAUAAACUGGAGGAAGGUGGGGAUGACGUCAAGUCAUCAUGGCCCUUACGACCAGGGCUACACACGUGCUACAAUGGCGCAUACAAAGAGAAGCGACCUCGCGAGAGCAAGCGGACCUCAUAAAGUGCGUCGUAGUCCGGAUUGGAGUCUGCAACUCGACUCCAUGAAGUCGGAAUCGCUAGUAAUCGUGGAUCAGAAUGCCACGGUGAAUACGUUCCCGGGCCUUGUACACACCGCCCGUCACACCAUGGGAGUGGGUUGCAAAAGAAGUAGGUAGCUUAACCUUCGGGAGGGCGCUUACCACUUUGUGAUUCAUGACUGGGGUGAAGUCGUAACAAGGUAACCGUAGGGGAACCUGCGGUUGGAUCACCUCCUUACCUUAAAGAAGC